GAUGAAGAACGUAGCGAAAUGCGAUAAGUAAUGUGAAUUGCAGAAUUCAGUGAAUCAUCGAAUCUUUGAACGCACCUUGCGCCCUUUGGCCAUUCCGAAGGGCAUGCCUGUUUGAGUAUCAUGAACACCUCAACUCUUCAUGGUUUUCCGUGAUGAGCUUGGACUUUGGGGGUCUUGCUGGCCUAUGGUCAGCUCCUCUAAAAUAAAUCAGCUUGCCAGUGUUUGGUGGGUAUCACAGGUGUGAUAACUAUCUACGCUUGUGGUUUUACACCAGGUAACCUUCAGCAGUGGAGGUUCGCUGGAGCUCACAGAUGUGUCUCUCCUCAGUGAGGACAGCUCUUUGAAUGUUUGAUCUCAAAUCAGGUAGGACUACCCGCUGAACUUAAGCAUAUCAAUAAGCGGAGGA
Molecule: unclassified non-coding RNA, 406 nt
Filed under: soil metagenome
Description: partial contains 5.8S ribosomal RNA, internal transcribed spacer 2, and large subunit ribosomal RNA
Rfam family: 5.8S ribosomal RNA (bases 1-121)
Source: RNAcentral